CACAAGUAAAAAACCUUUGUAAUUUCAGGUAACUAUGGUGGAGGUGGAAACUAUAAUGAUUUUGGAAAUUACAGUGGACAACAGCAAUCAAAUUAUGGACCCAUGAAAGGGGGCAGUUUUGGUGGAAGAAGCUCGGGCAGCCCCUAUGGUGGUGGUUAUGGAUCUGGUGGUGGAAGUGGUGGAUAUGGUAGCAGAAGGUUCUAAAAACUCAGCAGAAAAGGGCUACAGUUCUUAGCAGGAGAGAGAGCGAGGAGUUGUCAGGAAAGCUGCAGGUUACUUUGAGACAGUCGUCCCAAAUGCAUUAGAGGAACUGUAAAAAUCUGCCACAGGAGGAACGAUGAUCCAUAGUCAGAAAAGUUACUGCAGCUUAAACAGGAAACCCUUCUUGUUCAGGACUGUCAUAGCCACAGUUUGCAAAAAGUGCAGCUAUUGAUUAAUGCAAUGUAGUGUCAAUUAGAUGUACAUUCCUGAGGUCUUUUAUCUGUUGUAGCUUUGUCUUUUUCUUUUUCUUUUCAUUACAUCAGGUAUAUUGCCCUGUAAAUUGUGGUAGUGGUACCAGGAAUAAAAAAAUUAAGGAAUUUUUAACUUUUCAAUAUUUGUGUAGUUCAGUUUUUCUACAUUUUAGUACAGAAACUUUAACAAAAUGCAGUUUUGAAGGUGUUUCCUUGUGAGUUAACAAGUAAAGAAGAUCAUUGUUAAUCACUAUUUUGUAUGAAUUUUGCUAAAGUUAACUGUAAAGAAACACCUACUGACUUGCAAUUUAAGGGGAAUCUAUUCUCCCCAUUUCCAAACCAUGAAAUGAAUGGGCUCUGACAUGUGGAGAGAAUAGAUAUUUGUAUGUUUGCAAUGUGUGUUUUAGAUAAAUAGAAUUGGGUAUUUAAAUUAGCAUAUUUGUGACUUUGAUGACAUUAAAAUUUACCUUCAAAUGAAAACUCAAAAUUCAAAAU
Myotis brandtii (Brandt's bat) is the source of this 947-nucleotide long non-coding RNA. RefSeq lists it as uncharacterized. Lineage: Eukaryota; Metazoa; Chordata; Mammalia; Chiroptera; Vespertilionidae. The record is from RefSeq and is a predicted model, not a curated record. The transcript has 2 exons.